Long non-coding RNA from Sphaerodactylus townsendi, 300 nucleotides. RefSeq lists it as uncharacterized. The record is from RefSeq and is a predicted model, not a curated record. Lineage: Eukaryota; Metazoa; Chordata; Lepidosauria; Squamata; Sphaerodactylidae. The transcript has 2 exons.
GGGAUAUAAAUCCAAACUCUUCUUCUUCUUCUUCUAGCGGGGGGGUGAUGUCCCCAAGCAGAGUUCCCUCGCAAGGAAAUCACACAGAGCUUUACAAGGGGGAUCAUUUGGGAGCUGCUGGGCAUCAUCAUUAAGAUCGGCCGGUUAUGGAGCCUCCUCUGGAGCUUUUGAAGGAGAUCUGGCGAGAUCUAUUUUUGUUACCUCCUCACAAGACUUUGUGUGGUUUCUGUUCUUCCUUGUAGUGGUGAUGCGUACCAAGGGGGCGGGGGGUAUAUUCAAUAAAGUAUGAAUUUAACACAA